This 25-nucleotide ribosomal RNA is filed under the name Philodendron erubescens. Its description in RNAcentral is "partial 18S ribosomal RNA". Lineage: Eukaryota; Viridiplantae; Streptophyta; Magnoliopsida; Alismatales; Araceae. The record is from RNAcentral.
CUGCCAUAGUCAUAUGCUSGUCUAA